This 497-nucleotide ribosomal RNA is filed under the name uncultured Glomeromycotina. RNAcentral's name for it is "partial small subunit ribosomal RNA". It matches the Rfam family "Eukaryotic small subunit ribosomal RNA", at positions 591 to 1092 of the family's 1831-position model. The record is from RNAcentral. Lineage: Eukaryota; Fungi; Glomeromycota.
CCAAUAGCGUAUAUUAAAGUUGUUGCAGUUAAAAAGCUCGUAGUUGAAUUUCGGGAUUAGUACGUUGGUCGUGCCUUCGGUACGUACUGGUGUUACUGAUUCCUACCUUCUGACGAACCAUCAUGUCAUUAAUUUGGUGUGGCGGGGAAUCAGGACUGUUACUUUGAAAAAAUUAGAGUGUUUAAAGCAGGCUCGCGCUUGAAUACAUUAGCAUGGAAUAAUGAAAUAGGACGUUGACCCUAUUUUGUUGGUUUCUAGGAUUGACGUAAUGAUUAAUAGGGAUAGUUGGGGGCAUUAGUAUUCAAUUGUCAGAGGUGAAAUUCUUGGAUUUAUUGAAGACAAACUACUGCGAAAGCAUUUGCCAAGGAUGUUUUCAUUAAUCAAGAACGAAAGUUAGGGGAUCGAAGACGAUCAGAUACCGUCGUAGUCUUAACCAUAAACUAUGCCGACUAGGGAUCGGAUGAUGUUAUUUUUAAUGACUCAUUCGGCGCCUCACG